UAUGUUCAUCGCAACUCAAGGUAAGGAGGUUAAGGAUUUUUCAAUGAGCUUAAGGUUCCAGGGAUGAGAAAGUUUUUCUUCAAGGUUCAAGGGUUUUGCAUUGGCUUUUAGGCUCAAAAAUGUAGAAGAGGUCGAAGAACAAGAUGGCCUCGAUCAUUUUUAACAAGUAAGCAAAUAGUUCAAAUAGAGAAACUCAGGCAAAAUCAACUAUGAUUUCAAAGUGAUAGCACUCAACAAUAAACUCUGGGGCACAACAUCUCACAGGUUUACUCAGGGUUCCAAAUUUUGAUAAACAUCAUGCCUAGAAUAUUGAUCACAACAAAAAUCAAGCAUCUAUCUAAGCAGAUACAAGCAACCACAAUCUCCGUUCAACAGGCUCAAACACAUCAUCUCAAUCAGAUAUUCAAAACAAUUCAACUGUAUAAUGUGCAAACACAAGAGAUCUGUAUUCAAUUCAAGCAUAGCAU
This 467-nucleotide long non-coding RNA is filed under the name Vigna radiata. RNAcentral's name for it is "long non-coding RNA (VRAD_LNC006684)". Lineage: Eukaryota; Viridiplantae; Streptophyta; Magnoliopsida; Fabales; Fabaceae. The record is from RNAcentral.